Molecule: non-coding RNA, 1096 nt
Organism: Corylus avellana
Lineage: Eukaryota; Viridiplantae; Streptophyta; Magnoliopsida; Fagales; Betulaceae
Source: RefSeq, a predicted model, not a curated record
AUUUCUGAAUUCUCAAAAUCUAAUUUAAAAUCCUGACAGCCAUCAAAAAAUGAUCAUAAAAUCAUUCAUCGACAGCAGCUGAUGUGGUACAGAUAGAUUGAUUGAUAUUUGAAAUAUGGCGUUUUAACUUAUAUUUAAGGCUGCACAUCCGGGUGGGACCCAAGUUCGUAAAUCUGUGUCAUAGUUAAGGAAGAAUAUGGAAAGACUCCUAAUUCUCCAAAACAUUUUCUUCCUCUGAUUCUCUGGGAUCAAUCAGUUCCACCCAGUUCUUUCUUCUGGAGGCUGCUGACGCCAUGGUCACCGAGAUGUUUGAAUCCUAUCAAAAUUUAAUUGACGGUUGUUCUGAACUUGAUGAAUACUAGCUAGGAAACUAGUAUUAACUGAUCACUCUUCUCAGAACCAUGAGAUACCCAGUGGAUGGCCGCUUGGGCUUGGGAUUAUGAACAUGAGACUUAGAGUGUUGCAGAGAUUACCAGCCUCUGCUGCAGCAGAGCCCCACUCUUUGCGCGUGGCAUCAACCAGUUUCUCCUCAUUCUCUUCCUCUAACCUUGAUACUGAGUCCACAGCAUCCUUCUUUCAAGAUCAUAGCGUGUCACUCGGCCGGCUAAUUGGGAUAAGACCAGGCGAAAGAUCAGGCUUCUACUUGCAAAACUCAAUCAAUUUUGAAGAGCAUAACAUGAUGCCUGCAAGGGAUGCAAACACUGAUGUCUCUAGACAUAGAGUGGACAUGUCACGGGGAAUUUGCAUUCCUCUGUUGCUUGGUGCUCUGGUAAAGAUGAGCCGGAGCAAGAGCAAGUCAAGAAAGUAAUGCUUCACGGCCGGCCGGCAUUCUGGCAUUCAGGGGGAAUAAACUUCCACGACAUGGAUCAAUGCUGUUAUGAUUUGUAUUCAUAAAUGAGCUGCUCGUCGUAAUAAUGACUUCUGAAUUCAGAGCAUUGUUUCGAUUUCGUGUAGCAAGUUGAACUUAUAAUAUAUUAUUCUUGCUCUUUGCCAAAUUGCUUGAUUUAAGUGAUGGCUCCAUUUGGAACUCACUUGCUAAAGCUUUGUGAAUAUCUUUCCUGCGUUUAAAUAUGACAAGAAAUAUGCUUGAGCCUCA